CGCAAGCCAGGCUGGUAACGCGAGGAGAACCUCACGCUGGCUCGAGCAAAAUGAAAAGCCCGGACUCCUACGGGAGCCGAGUUCCAACGCCAAGGAAGACCUCGCCCGGACUCCUACGGGAGCCGGGUUCCAACGCCAAGGAAGACCUCACCCGGACUCCUACGGGAGUCGGGUUCCAAUGCCAAGGAAGACUUCACCCGGGCUCCUACGGGAGCCGGGUUCCAAUGCCAAGGAAGACUUCACCCGGACACCUACGGGAGCCAGGUUCCAACGCCAAGUAAGACUUCACCCGGACUCCUACGGGAGUCGGGUUCCGCCUACAAGGAAGACUUCGCCCGGACUCCUACGGGAGCCGGGCUCCAUCCGCGACUUCUGCAGCUAGGGUCAAUGACGACGAAACUCGACCGCCUAACAAGAUCGGACGAAAGGAAAAAGCCCCCCCCCCCGACGACAUCUACAUCAGACAAGCCAAACGUCAAGAAAGGUUCGACAGACAACAAUAUUAGCGCGGCGCGUGGACGAGGUAACGCAAAAUGCUCUUUUCAUUUCAUUUUCGAUAUAUACACACUACGAGGCCAGGACGGCCAAGGAAAGAAGGACAAAAUGACAAAAAGAAAAUAACUACAUGAUAAGACAGAAAGGCAAAGGAGCUCUAAGGAGGUCCUGCUCCCUCCGACCUAGGGUUAUCUACUCCGUCCCUCAACCAGGAUUGCCUCAGGUUCUCUAUUGCUUCUUCUAGUUCUUCCCUCUUCCGCAGUGCAUCCUGGAGCGCCCGAUGAAGCUGCUGGCUCUCAGCCUCCGCUUCUCGAUGCCACUU
This 817-nucleotide long non-coding RNA is filed under the name Elaeis guineensis (African oil palm). RNAcentral's name for it is "long non-coding RNA (EGUI_LNC045206)". Lineage: Eukaryota; Viridiplantae; Streptophyta; Magnoliopsida; Arecales; Arecaceae. The record is from RNAcentral.